CAAAAUGUAGCUUAACUUUAAAGCAUUUAGUUUACACCUAAAAGAUUUCAGUCUAAUUCUGACCAUUUUGA
This 71-nucleotide transfer RNA is filed under the name Didelphis aurita (big-eared opossum). RNAcentral describes it as "tRNA-Val". It matches the Rfam family "tRNA". Rfam says of the family: Transfer RNA (tRNA) molecules are approximately 80 nucleotides in length. Lineage: Eukaryota; Metazoa; Chordata; Mammalia; Didelphimorphia; Didelphidae. The record is from RNAcentral.